This 484-nucleotide ribosomal RNA is filed under the name uncultured bacterium. RNAcentral's name for it is "partial 16S ribosomal RNA". It matches the Rfam family "Bacterial small subunit ribosomal RNA", at positions 29 to 507 of the family's 1533-position model. The record is from RNAcentral.
AUUGAACGCUGGCGGCAUGCUUUACACAUGCAAGUCGAACGGCAGCGCGGGCUUCGGCCUGGCGGCGAGAGGCGAACGGGUGAGUAAUACAUCGGAACGUGCCCAGUAGUGGGGGAUAGCUCGGCGAAAGCCGGAUUAAUACCGCAUACGACCUGAGGGUGAAAGCGGGGGAUCUUCGGACCUCGCGCUAUUGGAGCGGCCGAUGGCAGAUUAGCUAGUUGGUGGGGUAAAGGCCUACCAAGGCGACGAUCUGUAGCUGGUCUGAGAGGACGACCAGCCACACUGGGACUGAGACACGGCCCAGACUCCUACGGGAGGCAGCAGUGGGGAAUUUUGGACAAUGGGCGAAAGCCUGAUCCAGCAAUGCCGCGUGUGUGAUGAAGGCCUUCGGGUUGUAAAGCACUUUUGGCGGGAACGAAAAGGACUGUGCCAAUACCACGGUUCGAUGACGGUACCCGCAGAAUAAGCACCGGCUAACUACGUG